AUGACUGUGUCACUGCACUCCAGCCUGGAUUACAGAAAAGAAGAAGGACAGCCAUUACUAUUUAAAGAAAGAUAAACUGAGGCUCAGAAGCAUUAAAAGACCUGUCCAAGGCCCCUGGCAGCUCUUCAUCUGAAGAUGUCUUUAUUUUCCCCUCAUACCUUGUGUUUUUGAUAUAGCUUAAGAUGGAUUUUUGUUUGUUUGUUUGUUUUAUCCUGUUUGGGAUUUAUACACCGUCUAGAAUCUGAAGGUUUGUGUCUUUCACCCAAUGUUUCUCUGAAUAGUGAGGGAAGAAGAGGAGAGGAGGGAGGGGUAGAGAGACAGGGAGAGAGGAAGGGGGUGGAAUGGGAAAGAGGGAGGGGGAGGAAUGGAGAGAGAAAGGGAGGAAAAGGGAGUAGG
RNAcentral lists this long non-coding RNA (396 nucleotides) under Pan troglodytes (chimpanzee). RNAcentral describes it as "long non-coding RNA NONPTRT015131". Lineage: Eukaryota; Metazoa; Chordata; Mammalia; Primates; Hominidae. The record is from RNAcentral.